This is a long non-coding RNA of Octopus sinensis (East Asian common octopus), 214 nucleotides long. RefSeq lists it as uncharacterized. The transcript is spliced from 3 exons. Lineage: Eukaryota; Metazoa; Mollusca; Cephalopoda; Octopoda; Octopodidae. The record is from RefSeq and is a predicted model, not a curated record.
UAUUACAAAAAAGGGCCAGCCUUGUCACACUCUGUGUCAUGUUGGCUCUCCCUGAGAACUGCGUUAGGGGUACUCGUGUCUGCGGAAUGCUCAGCCACGUGAACGUUAAUUUCACGAGCAAGCUGUCCCAUUGAUCGCAUCAGCUGGGACCCUCGUCAUCGUAACCGACGGAGUGCUCCUAAGAUAUAUAUAUAUAUAUAUAUAUGUAUAAGGG